GAGCACACCACCUUCUCCUUAAACUACCCUUCCUCACUUGGCUGCUAAAAAGAAGCCUCUCAGCAUGGAGCUACCAUGUUAGAACAGUAGUUCAGGGCAAUAGUGCUGAGGUAAUGGUGGUGCUCCACAGCAGGUCUCCUGAGGCACCGGCAUCUCAACCCUCUGUUCAGCCCCAGAGGCCACUGCUCCAGCACAGCCUGGGUUCUCCAACCGCCUUCAGCCCGAGCUCCUGGAGGCUGGGAAGAGCAGCCAGAGGCUGGUACACACAUGGAACUGGGGUCGCUCUUUCCAGGUGAAAACCCUGCGCUCUGCCCGUGCUCUGGCAUGUUCCAACAGCGGCAGGCUGCACAAGGAAACGGAGCUGGUGCUGGUCAACAUCAGCCAGUGUGUGAAGGAGCCAACGCAGUCAAAUGAGAAACUAGGGCACAAGAUCCAGUGGGAAAUCAAGAAGACUGCACUGCUGCCAGGAGAAAAGGAGCAUGUUCAAGACCCACUGCAGGAGGAAGACACAUACCUCAUGGUUGGAACACAUGAGCAACACCACAAGUCUGAGCAGCUGAAGGGCAAGAACUUCACAUUACCAGCCCCGCACAAUUCUGCAGGGCUGUCUCCACCCCACUCUUGCCCAAGGGACAAGAAACAGUGCAAAACAAAGCAAGGAUUAGACUGACAACUUUUAAACAAAUAAAAUCUUUUCUGUUCUGUAGCAAAA
Long non-coding RNA from Strigops habroptila (Kakapo), 712 nucleotides. RefSeq lists it as uncharacterized. The record is from RefSeq and is a predicted model, not a curated record. The transcript has 4 exons. NCBI's taxonomy places the organism in Eukaryota, Metazoa, Chordata, Aves, Psittaciformes, Psittacidae.